UGGCAUCGGCGAUACCGCCCCUCUCCAGGCCCCUCCGGAGCAGAACCGGGGGCAUCAUCGGUUCUGUUGGGUCUCGAAUAGGUCCACCUGAGGAGUUCCCCACCUCCGGAAAAGCUGGAGGGCCACUUCCAGGUGUAGGGACUACUCAUGUUGAGAAGAAAAGUCUCUGCACAAGUGAUCCACCCACACAUUCUGGGUGCCCGCGGGCCCGGGGCAGUGCAUGUGGACACGAGGAGUGCCACAAGAUCCCUCACCUAUGACUGGGAGGUGACCUUGACCAGCCAGUCGUCCAGAUAGGGGAAUAUCUGGAGCCUCCGGUGCCUGAGCACCUUCCCGUCAAAAGGGAGAUCCCUGCACUUCGCUGGAUAGCCCAGAGAGCAGAAGCCAGGACUCCCAUCUCAUGGACAUUGCCGAGGCCAUGGACUGUGUGGCCGUGUCCGCUGCAUCCGAAGCGGCCUGCAGGGAUGCCCUUGCGGCAGCUGUCCCUUCCUCCAUGAGCACCUUAAACUCCUUUCUAUUGCACUGCCGGAGGGAGUCCUCGAACUUGGGGAGAGAUGCCCAGAGAUUAAACUUGUAGCGACCCAGAAGAGCCUGAUGGUUUGCUACUCUCAACUGGAAG
Mauremys reevesii (Reeves's turtle) is the source of this 619-nucleotide long non-coding RNA. RefSeq lists it as uncharacterized. The record is from RefSeq and is a predicted model, not a curated record. Lineage: Eukaryota; Metazoa; Chordata; Testudines; Geoemydidae. The transcript has 3 exons.